GUCUACGGCCAUACCACCCUGAACACGCCCGAUCUUGUCUGACCUCAAAGCUAAGCAAGGUCGGGCCUGGUUAUUACUUGGAUGUGAGAUU
Molecule: ribosomal RNA, 91 nt
Filed under: Fukomys damarensis (Damara mole-rat)
Lineage: Eukaryota; Metazoa; Chordata; Mammalia; Rodentia; Bathyergidae
Source: RNAcentral